Molecule: non-coding RNA, 26 nt
Filed under: Mus musculus (house mouse)
Lineage: Eukaryota; Metazoa; Chordata; Mammalia; Rodentia; Muridae
Source: RNAcentral
UGGGACGAUAUUACUUAGACUGCAGG